GAUUGUCUUUUGGAUAUUUAUUAUAUAAAAAUAUAAAAUCCAUUAUAGCAGAGUUUAUAAGAUUAUAUUACAUGCUUGCAAAUAUCAUUAAUAGGUUAACAUACCCUUCUGAACAUGUCAUCAUGUCAGCCUCUCUGUCAUUUUAAGAUGGAGCAGCGUCUGUCUCCAAGUCUCUCCUCUGUGUCUUAACAUUUAAAAGUACACCUAUUUAUACCUUAGGUGUCUCCAUUUUAAAUUUACCAUAGUUCAUUUACUUUAUUCAUUUUAGGACCUCCCUUAACUUGGCAAACAUACAAGGCCAUAACUAAAGGGUGUAUACGUCACGGAAAUUUUCCUGACUUAGUUCAAGAUGACAUCUUAAAGUCUGAAUAGGUUAUCUGUUGUUUAUACUAAGUCGUAAGUGUACAGUCGUGGGAGAUUCCCGGAUUUGGGGAAGUUCCAUUAACUUGGGGUUACCACAGUAUAUUGUGUACUGCAAGUGUCGUAGAAUAGCCUUGAAGCUUGUUUAUGCAUUAUUGUUAUUGUAAUUCGUCUGGGACAAAAUGGCGCAAACAUAUUAUGCACUGAGGUUAUUGCUUAAAGAAACAGUUAUGAAAAACAAUAUGUUCCAUUUCUAACACCUUGUCAGUUUGCAAUAUCUCUUAAAGACAAAGUACACAGUUUAAGGAAUACAACAUUUCAUUCUAAAACUUGUAAUAUUUGCAUUUGCCCGUAACA
Molecule: non-coding RNA, 717 nt
Organism: Pelobates cultripes (western spadefoot toad)
Lineage: Eukaryota; Metazoa; Chordata; Amphibia; Anura; Pelobatidae
Source: the annotation of a GenBank genome assembly